UGAUUUCAUCUGGCGACCUGGUGCUUAGCAGCGCAAUACCAUAGCCGCUAAGGCACCGCGGUGGUUGUUACCCAAAUCAAACAUUUGAUUGUCGAACUUUUCAGUGCACUUUCCAAGGCCUAGGGACUCUGAAUCUACGAUCAGAGAUUUACUUGCUAAUUGAGUUCCUCAAGUAUCUGCUGGCAAGGAAUGACUUUGAUGUUUUGCUGCCAUUGCUGACGGGUGUCUGCGAAGGCAUCACUAGCACCCUUGGCCUUCUUACUGGUGGAAUCGUUAGCCUCUCCUGCGAUGAGCUCCAAUUCGAUAUAGAUGUUGUGUGCAGUGAACCCAUCGCCAUCAGCUUCCCAACCACCACGUCUUUCCAAAAGUGCUUGAAUUCGACUGGUCUCACUUGCGUCAACGACACACCGGUAGACGAGCCGGCAAUACUUGGAUUCUUGAGAGUAUUGGCGUGCCUGGUGAGGUACGUUCUCGACACCGCACCGAGCGAAAUCGUAAAGCAGCUGGGCUGUGAUUUGGUCGGUGUUGUUCACUCGAUCAGUGGCAGCUGCAGUGCGACGGUUGUUUCACCGUUGAUCUGCGCCUUGGAAAGAAUACUAAACACCGAGUGCUCUGUUGUCCAGUGCUAGAACAAAGGCUCCACCCUUUACAUGCACAUAUAAAUUUGAAACUCGGCAUAUCUAUUGUUUAUAUAACCAAAGAAAACUUGAUGGCAUAAAUUGAAGAUUGUUGAAACAUUUUGUUAUUCUGCUUUUGCCUGCAUACAUUCUAGGAAAGCGAACCUCAGCCCUUGCUCGCUAAACCUUUAAAUCUAAAUACAUUAUUUUCUCUCGAACGAGGUGUCAUUGAAGAUCGGUGACAUAUUAGGUAAAUAUGCCUCUGCGUUAAUUUGUUCGAGCCAAGCGAAGCGCUGUAACCCGAGGCAAGUCUUUUAAAUCAAUGCAAAAUAUCCUCUCUCCAGCGAUUUAUGCAGAAAGCCUACAUUUAAUGUACAGUAAAAACUUGUUCGCAACGUAAUUUCGCUCUUUAGCCACUAAACUAGCGAUAUAAAUCUUGAGUUCACACGUUCCCAGAUGCCAUGAAAUAUUGAUGCCUAGAAUUCCUGUCGCGAAUUUGCGUAUAUGUCAUAAACGUUCUUCCCUUUUAAAGAGCACAAAUGCAUGUUUUCGAUUUGAAAAUAAGAGCCGUAAAUACUGACUCACGAGAGCUCGCAUGCGAAAUUAAUUAAACUAUCAAUGCCAAAGCAUCUUCGUUAGCUGCUUUCCUUGUACCUAAAGUAGCUAAUUUCUAACUCAAAGAAAAUAUUUUCGAUUAUUUUGUACUAUAUUAUUAGUAAACGUUGAAAUCUGGCAAAGAAGUACUCAUUUUAAGGUCUAUUAACUAGCGCAUGCAUUUCCCUUCCUCUUACCUGUUCAUACGGAAAGAACUUAGGUUCAAUAAAGUGGCACUAAAGCAAAGUCAUGCUUUUUUUUACGUUUUUUGCGCUCCUGUUUGUCCUGUGCCAUGCAAUUUCCUUUCUGAAAAUUUUGGCUGGUUCACCGAAAUGAUAUUUUUUGAAUACGGAGAAGCAAUGCAAAGCUGAUUACCUCAUGACUUAACGUGGCGCCUUGCGCAAGGGAGAUGGGAACAAAAAAUAGGCGGCCUAAAUCAUGAUGGCAGAUGCCAUUACUGUAACAUAUUUCUGUUAAAAUAAGCAAAAGAACGUUUUAAAUUUUUUCUUUUUAUUUUUAUAUAUUGGUUUAUUAUAGCAACUGUGAUUCGAAAGCAUAGUUCUUUUUUCAUUUCUAAGAGUCAGUUUUUUACAGUACAAAAAACAUGAAAUUUUAGGAACUUGAUGCAUUAUGGAAACGCAUGUAGUAAAUUCUUUGACUUUUAGUAAUGUUUUAGCAAACGUUUAGUCAAUUUUCAGCAAUAAAUAUAGUUUGUGGAAAUCGAGGUGCAGUGUCGCGUUUCCUGCUCGAUGCUCGUGCAUGUCACGGUCAUUGGCCAAUCUCCUGCAACCGCCGACCCCGUGCCCACAUGACAUACAUGGCCUGCGCGCAGACUACUUUCUUGUGCAAAGCAUGUUAUUUGUCUCGGCGUCUAAUCACAUGUGCGAGCACGCUUCACGUGGACGAGCCCUGACUGGUUUUCUUGUGUCUGCUGCCGGGCGCCCUCUUCACCAAGCUCUCAGCAACCCACAAGCUUCCACACCACGGCCAGAUGUGGGCCCCACACGCU
This is a long non-coding RNA of Dermacentor andersoni, 2220 nucleotides long. RefSeq lists it as uncharacterized. NCBI's taxonomy places the organism in Eukaryota, Metazoa, Arthropoda, Arachnida, Ixodida, Ixodidae. The record is from RefSeq and is a predicted model, not a curated record.